This 1160-nucleotide long non-coding RNA is filed under the name Anser brachyrhynchus (Pink-footed goose). Its description in RNAcentral is "lncRNA (ENSABRG00000010420.1)". The record is from RNAcentral. Lineage: Eukaryota; Metazoa; Chordata; Aves; Anseriformes; Anatidae.
CCCAAAUCAGGGCGAACCAGGCAGGGCUGGGGCAGCCCCUGUGGGACAUCAGCCCCAGCUGGGUGAUGCUGGGGCAGAGACCAGAGCCACACCAGCAGCCACCUGCAAGCGAUUGGGGGCUGGGGGCCCUUAUAAGCAGCAGGGGAACUGCCCCCAGCUGGGUGCUUUGGCAUUUUCCGGCCCCAAGGGAUGGCAGCUUAUGUUUGGGGGUGCCAAGGAGCCGGCCUGGCCACGCCACGCGCCGCCUGGUUUCCUCCUUGGCUGUGCCAGACCCUUCCCCGCCAGCUGAGCUUGAGGUGUUGGUAAUUUGGCAAAACACGAGGAGGAGGAGGGCGGCAGCCUCCCCAGCAGCGAGCUUCCUCGUGGCCGCAAUUAAGGCACGUAUGGAGUUGGGAACAGCACCAAACCGACGCGUGGCUGAACCGAACCCACCGUGAGAAGUGUCACCCUGCUCCCACACAGAAAUCACACUUCCCUGCCAGGCACGCUCGCCGCCUGUCUCUGGGCUAUUUUUGCCGCAUCCUUUUGGAGGCACAGCAGCCAGAACCGAGCACGGCGACUUCAGCAUUCAAAGGCAGACCGUAAGCUUUAAUGGAGCUGGUGGCAUUAUAAUAUUUGCACUCGCCUUCCCCACCGCUUUCCUAAUAUAGCCCGACACCGGCCGGGAUUUUCAACUGUGGCGGCGCGCGGAGCAGCUCCCUGCUGUCCUGUCACCCCCGACCUGGCAGGUGGGUACAAUUUUCCAUCAAAACUACUAUAUCUGGCAAAGCCUGAAAUUAAAAAAAUAAUAAUAGAGUGAUUCAGAGGCUGUUGGCUCCCAGGGCAGCGAGGUGCCAUGGGCAGCGUUCCCACCAGAGGUACCAGCGCGCUGGGCGGGCAGGUCUCGUGCUGCGGGAUGCUGCGUGGGGGCGCAGGCAGUGAGCUCUUCCAUCACUUGGCCGGAAAAAUAUGAUGUCCCACGCUAGGAUGGAGUCGGUCCCAGCAGGACCACCGCCGUGCCCUGUUCUGCCACCUGGCAAGCACCUCCUCACCCCUCCAGGGACGUGCACGCGAGAGACGGGAGCGGAGCGAGGUGAUGCGCGGUGCCGUGGCACGGCUUGCCCUCGACGUUCUUCAACCCCCCGGGCGCUGGAGCAGCGUGGAGCUGAUAGAAAGCAGAU